Molecule: RNA transcript, 3318 nt
Organism: Impatiens glandulifera
Lineage: Eukaryota; Viridiplantae; Streptophyta; Magnoliopsida; Ericales; Balsaminaceae
Gene name: DEK domain-containing chromatin-associated protein 4-like
Exons: 13
Source: RefSeq, a predicted model, not a curated record
CUUCCUUCCCUCCCUCCCUCUGCAACUCGAAAUCUGGUCUUAGUCGUUCUCCAGCUGGGUCAUCUCCGUCGUCUAUUUCUUCUACCGCCGGGACCGGCCACGAUUCUUCCGAGCACAAACUGUUUCAUCACCUAACUGGUUGAAUGCUGUUUCAAUCUUGAUAGGAUAAAUAAUUAGCAAUGGGGGAAGAAGAGGAAGAGCUUGUGGCUGAUAAUAUUGUUGCAGAGUUAACUGGAGGUGGUACACCUGAGAAGAAGGGUGACGUGGAAGAUGCUAAAAAAUAUGAGAUAACUGUGGAGGACAGGAUGGAUAUUGAUGGGGUUGGUAUGGAGGGCUUGGAGACUAAAGAUGAUGUCAAAGGAAAUGAUGAAGAGAAAGAGACCAAAGGAGAAAAUAAGAUAGAAGAAAUAGACCCAAAGGAUGAAGACAAAAUACCUCAGACGGGGGUCAAAGAAGAGGACGGUAGUAAUGAAGAGGAAAAACAGAAAGAUGGUAGUGAAGAAGGUGUAGAAGAGGAGAAUGGUAGUAAUGAAGAGGAAAAACAGAAAUAUGGUAGUGAAGAAGGUGUAGAAGAGGAGAAUGGUAGUAAAGAAGAGGAAAACGAGAAAAUUGGUAGCGAAGAAGGUGAGAAAGAAGAGGACAAAGAAAAAAAUUGUAGAGAAGAAGGUGAAAAGGAGGAGAAUGAUAUUAAAGAAGAGAAAAUUGGUAGUGAAGAAGGUGAAAAUGAUGAGAAUGUUAGUAAAGAAGAGAAAGUUGGCUGUGAAGAAGGUGAAAAAGAGGAGAUCGAUAGUAAAGAAGAGGAAAAUGUGAAAAUUGGUAGCGAAGGUGAAAAAGAGGAGAACGACGGUAAAGAAGAGAAAGUUGGUAGUGUAGAUGAUGAAAAUGGGGAAAUCGAUAGUAAAUUAGAGGAAAAAGUGAAAAUUGGUAGUGAAGGUGAAAAAGAGGAGAAUGAUAGUAAAGAAAAUAAAAUUGGCAAUGAAGAAGGUGGGAAAGAGGUGAACGAUAUUAAAGAAGAAGAAAAGCAGGACAUUGGUAGCGAAAAAGAGAAAAUAGAGAAAAAUGGUAGUGAAGGAGAGGAAAACGCAGAGGAAACUCAAAUAGAUGUAAUGGAAGAAGAUACACAUAGUAAAGAAGAGGAAAUCAAAGAGGAAACUCAAAUAGAUGUAAUGGAAGAAGAUACACAUAGUAAAGAAGAGGAAAUCAAAGAAGAAACUCAAGUAGAUACAAUGGAAGAAGAUACAUUUACAAAAUCUGAGAAAGAGAGUAAGAAAAAUGUUGACCAGAAAGUAGGCAUAUUUACAGAAGGAGACAAUGACAAAGAACCAAAAGAAGUGGAAGAUAAAGAAGAAGAGAAAAAUGCUGAAGAAAUUAAAAAGAAUAAACAGUCGAGAAGUCUGGGGAAAGCAAAAGUGUCCAAGGAAAGGAGCGUUGACAACAGAAAGACAAAGUCUGGAAAAGAGAGCGAUGAAAAUGUUGAUCAGAAAGUAUACACAUCUAUGGAAGAAGACAAUGACAACGAACCAAAAGAAGAGGAAGAUAAAAAUGACGAAAUUAAAAAGAAAAAAGGUUCAAGAGGUCUGGGAAAAGCAAAAGUAUGUAAGGAAGUGUCUAAUGACAACAAAAAGACACCAGAAGAGAAGAAUGAGCCUAAAACACCUUUGGCUGGUAUCAAUGAACGCCCUGUACGUGAACGAAAAUCUGUAGAGAGGUUGGUUGCAUCCAUUGAGAAGGACUCCACCAGGGAAAUCAUAAUUCAAAAGGGUCGUGGUACUGCACUAAAAGACAUACCCAAUGUUGCGUACAAGUUGUCAAGAAAGAACGGUGAAGACACACUAAAAUUGCUCCAUACAGUUCUCUUUGGAAGAAGGGGAAAGGCUAUUCAGUUCAAAAGUAAUGUCUGCAGAUUUUCUGGCUUUGUCUGGAAAGAGAAUGAGGAAAAGCAAAAGUUGAAGUUGUUGGAAGAAAAAUUGGACAAGUGUGUUAAGGAGAAGUUGUUGGAACUCUGUGAUGUUCUUGACAUAUCCGUCAGCAGGGCUACAGCUAAAAAGGAAGACGUAGUGGUGAAGUUGAUCGAUUUUUUAAUGGCUCCUCAUGCUACAACUACUGAGCUACUUGUUGAGAAGGAGCAGUCAGGUAAGGGAAAAAAGCGCAAGAGGGGAGCCAAAGAGAGUGCUUCUUUUGAAAUCAGUCCUUCAAAACAUUCAGCAAAGAGCCGAAAAAAGACUGAGGAUGUAUCUGAGGAGAAAGAUAAUGAGAAUGACAAAGAUGAUGAAAUGGAUGAAGAGAAAGAGGUAGAUAAUGAAGAAGAAAAGGAGUUAGAUGAUGAUGAAGAAGAGGAAAAUGGGAAUGGUGUUGCUGAAAAGGCCAAACAUCAUGAAGUACUUGAAGAUUCCGAAAGUGAGGAAAGUGCAGAUGAGUCUGAAGAAGAGGAAUCUGAAGAAGAGGGGUCUGAAGAAGAACACACGCGCAAGCGUAAACGAGGUUCCAAGAAGUCCUUGGUUAAGAAAGGAUCUGAUUUGAAAACAAAAAGGAAGAAAGUAUCAACCCCUAAAAAACCCACCCCACCUGCGAAAAGAACAUCAGUGAAACCAUCUAAGGACAAGGGGAAUGAUAAGAGUGAUCCAAGCCCAAAGACAUUCGCAAGGAAGAAGAAACUGGAGGUAGUUAAGGAAACAUCCUCAACUCUGAAGAAGAAAGUGGAGGUAGUUAAGGAAACACACUCAACUCUGAAGAAGAAAGCUGCUUCCACAGAAAAACUUGGAGUAGGUAAGAAGAUGGUGAAAGGAAGAAGUAAACCCAAUGAGGAAAAACUGAGGCCAAGUGAUAAUGUGCUGAAAGAUGCAAUCUGUGAGAUUUUAAAGGAAGUCGACUUCACCACGGCUACCUUCACUGAUAUUCUCAAGCAACUAGCUGCAAGAUAUAGGACAGAUCUGACACCGAGAAAGGCACAAAUAAAGAUAAUGAUCCAGGACGAGCUGACUAAGCUUGCUGAUGAAGAGGAUGAGGAUGAUGAUGAAAGUGAUGCUGAGAAAGAAGAAAAUCAACCUUCUUCUGGCCAGGGUGUUAAGACCUGAAUUACUUACACACAGAUGGAAGAUCAACUAAGUUUGGCUAGGAUUGCAGUGAUGUCAUCAGAUGUGAGAAAAUUGACAAUUACAAAACUGAGGUCUUGCCAUAGGGUGGUGCUAGUUUAUUGUUGUUGAUUAGUUGUAAAAAUUGAUAUCUAAACAGAGUCUUUGUUGCAACUAUUAUUAUUACCCUUGUAGCAACAAGAACAUGUAAACAACAAGUAGUUGUAACCUGUAAUAAUUCAGUCAG